GUGAGGACUUUACUUGCAGAUGUGCGACACCGGUGAUCGGACGAUGGGAGGAUUGGCUGCAACAAGAACCACGCAUUUAGGAUCCAUUUUCAAAACUUUUGAGUUUAUCUUCUUUUGAAUAAGACACGUCAUAAUCGAUAUUACCAUGACGAGGGCAAGACCAAGGUACUACUUAACUCUGCCAACUUGCCCACAAUUUCCCAUAAUUUUCUAUCAAGAUCGUGAAGAUCAACUUACCAAGUGUUAAUUUUUAGCCCUUGUGCGUGAAUUAAAUAUAUUUAUAGGGGUU
This 289-nucleotide long non-coding RNA is filed under the name Elaeis guineensis (African oil palm). RNAcentral describes it as "long non-coding RNA (EGUI_LNC023934)". The record is from RNAcentral. Lineage: Eukaryota; Viridiplantae; Streptophyta; Magnoliopsida; Arecales; Arecaceae.